Molecule: ribosomal RNA, 254 nt
Filed under: uncultured bacterium
Lineage: Bacteria
Description: partial 16S ribosomal RNA
Rfam family: Bacterial small subunit ribosomal RNA
Source: RNAcentral
UACGGAGGGUGCGAGCGUUGUCCGGAAUCAUUGGGCGUAAAGGGCGCGUAGGUGGCCCGGUCAGUUCGUGGUGAAAGCGCGGGGCUCAACUCCGCGUCGGCCAUGAAUACUGCUGGGCUUGAGCACUGUAGAGGCAGGCGGAAUUCCGGGGUGUAGCGGUGGAAUGCGUAGAGAUCCGGAAGAACACCGGUGGCGAAGGCGGCCUGCUGGGCAGUAGCUGACACUGAGGCGCGACAGCGUGGGGAGCAAACAGG